RNAcentral lists this long non-coding RNA (3394 nucleotides) under Brassica napus (rape). RNAcentral's name for it is "long non-coding RNA (BNAP_LNC002407)". Lineage: Eukaryota; Viridiplantae; Streptophyta; Magnoliopsida; Brassicales; Brassicaceae. The record is from RNAcentral.
GGACGUCACGGUUUGAGAAGUUGAUGUCUUGUUCUUUCAAGAUCUCUCGGGCUAGCGACGGAGUGUUGAGCACGACGUUUAGUUUUGAGCCAAGGUUGAGUCUGAAGAUUGGACCGUAUUCUUGAGCGAGGUCUCUGAAGUAGGUGUGAAGGUCCGGUUUAAGAAACGGGAGGUUUCCGACGAUAGGUAGCCCUCGGGGUCCAGGUGGUAGAGGCGGUUGCGGCGAGCGUUUGAGAAGGAACCAGAGAACUGUAAUGAUAGUAGUGAGAACUAGAAUUGCGUAAGGAGGAACGUUCAUUGUGUUGUCGGUGAAGAGAUUUGAAAUCGGAGACAUAUCUUUUAUGUCUGUUUGUAGAAACUUUGAGAUAAAUGUGGUUGUAUGGUGUUUUUGCACAUCAUCAUUUCAGCUUCAGACGUUUCCCAAUAUAUAGAAAAAAUGUCAUAAAAAAAAUUAUAGUAAAAACCAAAAUUUUUUUGUGGACAUCUGGAAAUCUAAAUCCUGUGAAAGUGAUAAGAAACUUGCCAACAAAAAAAUAUUUUAUUCAUGAAUACUUAUUCCUUUAAAAUAUGGGUUUUUAGUAUAACUAUUUUUAGAUCGGAUGAAAAACUUUCAACUAAAACUUUAUGUUUUAAGACCCUCCACUAUUAAACUGUUAAUGAUAUUAACCAUCCAUCGGUAAAGUCGUCUUUUCUGAACGGAGAUCUGUUAAAUUGAAACGCGGAGUUUUAUUUAAUCACAAAAACGACACGAGAUGUUUAAUUUUUUUUUGUUUUUAGUGAUUUAAACUUCCAACUAUUUUUAGAUCAGACGAAAAAACCUUCCAACUAAAAGUUUAUGUUUAUAAACCCUCAACUAUUGAAACGUAAAUGCAUGUAACCCUCUCUCAAUGGCGUCUAUUCUGAACGGAGACAUGAUGGUAAAUUGAAACGCUUUAAUCAGAUAAAUGACAUGAUAUGUUUAAAUUCAUCACGAUUGGUGUCAAAACGGCAUGAUUUUUUGAACCAGAUUUUAAAUCCCCUCAUUCUCUCUCUAGUUCGAUUCAAUAGGCGGUGAUUCAAUCUGUUCUUCCAAACCAUCAUAUGGUUUAUCAAGUGUUUAGUCAGGCUAGAGAACAAGGUACAUUGCAUAUAUAGUUUUGGAUUCACAAAAUAGAUUGAAUUACUACAGUGUAUAUACAUCAAAGCCCCAAGCGAGUUUAUUAUUAUUAUUUUCCUAUUUUAGUUAUAUUAAAGAAAUUUGACCCCAAAAAAGGAAAUUUGGACAGAUACGAAACUAAUAUCAAAGCAAUGACAAAUGCUCUUAGUUCAAUAAUUUGUUUUUAAACCGAAAUUGAUGAUUAUUUUUAUUACACAAACAUACCUGACGUUCGAAAACUUCAUAAAUACAAAGAUCUUAGUUUCUACAGAUAAAGAUUAGGAUCAGACAACCUCGGAACGGGCAUGGCAAUAAGAGGGUUUUUGAGCUUCAAGACAAUACCAAACUUAUCUUCCACAUUUAACUCAUGGCCUUCUGGAACCUUCCAAUCGAAUGAAUGCAACAGCGUUGCAAGAGUGUACUGAACCAUCCUCUCUGCGAGUGCUACACCGGCGCAGAUUCUCCGGCCAGAUCCAAAAGGAAGAAAGCUAUAGUCAGUUCCAUGGAAAUCACAAGACUUCUUAUCAAGAAACCUCUCGGGACGAAAUUCGUUCGGGUUUUCCCACACAUUUGGAUCUCUUUGAAUAGACCAAACAUUGAUGAAGAUUUUAGUGUCCUUAGGGACGGUGUAACCGCCGACCACAGCUGUUUCAGCUGGACGGUGAGGGACUAACAAAGGAACGGUCGGGUAAAGCCUAAGUGUUUCUUUCAUAAUGGCUACUAUGUAAGGAAGUCUAGUGAUGUGUGAUUCUUCAACAAUGUUAUCCUUUCCUACAACUUCGUCUAGCUCUUGUUGCGCUCUCUUCAUCGACUCUGGGUUCUUUAUAAGCUCGGCCAUCGCAAACUCUAUCGUGUUUGUAGAUGUAUCAGUACCACCAAUCACCAUAUCCUUCGCAUAUACAGUACGUAUAUAACAAACAUGAAUCAAAAUCAUUCUCAUGAGCUAAGAGACAUGUUAUGAAACAAUUAAGGGCAAAUCUCUAAAAAUAACAUAAAAGAUUGUUUUUAUGACCAAAAGAACACAGAAAAAAUGACUAAAUUAAAUAUGUUUCAUUAAAAAGGUAAAUAACAAUUAUAUUUCUACUUAAAUAUUUUUAAAAGAGAUUUUCGCAAUAAACUGAAUUUUUUAUUUAAAAAAAAAUAUUCUAAUUUUUUCUCUCCAAAAGAACCAGAACAACCCAAAAUUAAACUCUUGGGGGAGGAGUAUAAAUGUCUUUUACUCUUCAAUAAAAUCUAUUUUAGUUAUUUUGAUUUUGAAAACUAUUUUUGUGAUAAAAACUUUUUAGUACUGCUAUAUUUCUCAACAGUUAAUUACCGCGAGAACAGCUUUGACAUGGUUAACCGUAAUGGGAACCUCCGAGUUGGCUUCUUGGUCCUUUAGCUUCAUCAACUGUUGCAAAAAGUCUUUGCACUCACCAUCAUCCUUACUUUCUAGUUUUGGCAUCUUCUCAAUGGCUCCGUCGAAUAUGGCAUUAAGCUCACGAGAACACACGCGCAUCUGCUUCAAGAGCCCUUGAAGAUCGAAUCUCGCUAGCCACGGAAAGAAAUCCGAAAUAUUAGGCUCACCCAAAAGCCUAGUUAUCUCAGAAACCACUACUUUAAACUCUGUUCCAACACUAUCCAUCUCCUCGGCUUUCACCGAACCUCCCCACAACAUAUUAAUCGUUAGAUUCAUCAUCGUCACGAACAAUUGAUCACCAACGUUAACCGCCGCCUCUUCUUGACUUUUCUCGUAUAAAAACCUCGUUCUCUCUCGGAUCUCUUUGCGCCUUAGCUCGUAAAUUGAAUCCAACGUUUUGCGGUUAAGUAGUUUGAGAACACAAACUUUUCUAAGCAUUCUCCACUCCGCACUGUACGGUAACCAAACAAUGUCGAGACCACCAUAGGUAAUGGCUCGAGCCGUGAGAGGGACGUCACGGUUUGAGAAAUUGAUGUCUUGUUCUUUCAAGAUCUCUCGAGCUAGCGACGGAGUGUUGACCACGACAGUUAGUUUUGAGCCAAGGUUGAGUUUGAAGAUUGGACCGUAUUCUUGAGCGAGGUCUCUGAAGUAGGUGUGAAGGUCCGGUUUAAGAAACGGGAGGUUUCCGACGAUAGGUAGCCCUCGGGGUCCAGGUGGUAGAGGCGGUUGCGGCGAGCGUUUGAGAAGGAACCAGAAAACUGUAAUGAUAGUAGUGAGAACGAGAAUUGCGUAAGGAGGAACGUUCAUUGUGUUGUCGGUGAAGAGGUUUGAGAUCGGAGACAUGUUUUUACAGCUGUUUG